UGUUAUGGCGGGUUGCGCAAGGAUCCCUUCGGGGAUGCCGGGUUCCUUUCGUUCCGGUCCGCCAACCUUGUGUAAUCCGUCACCCUA
Pseudomonas fluorescens is the source of this 87-nucleotide non-coding RNA. NCBI's taxonomy places the organism in Bacteria, Pseudomonadati, Pseudomonadota, Gammaproteobacteria, Pseudomonadales, Pseudomonadaceae. The record is from Rfam.